CAUUCAAUACUACAUGUCCAGUCAGUCCAAGUAGUAGCUGCUUGCUUGACCCGGGGCACAGCCCAAGGGGCAACCCGCCGCCGUCGAUAGUUCGCCUUUUUGGUGAAAGGCCUGUCGGCGGGAGGACAUGCCCGAUAUGGAAGGGACGUCGCACAGUGACCCCGGGGCAUAUGACGCAUAUGUCCCCGGCAGGCAGCGUGACUCGACUCUCUGCCCGGUCGAAACGUAUGCCUCUACCAGCGCCCGACGUUUCAACCGCGGAGACCCGCCACGCGACAAGGCGCGCGUGGGCACGGACCGGCGCCAGGCCCCAAGCUGCUGCCUGUUUAUUACGACGCGGCUUCCUUCCUUGGCCUGGAGCUGCUAUCUAUCUCUGCCUCCUUCCCCCUUCUCUCCCCGUCCAUUUGCUGCUGCUUCUUCUCGAGUUUCUCCUCUCCCGCCCUUCAGUCUCUUUGCUGCUCGAGUUCUCUGCUGCUUUGGUUGAUGUUGUUGCUCGUCUCAUGGACAAGUGCUGUUGUUGAUUUUUCAUGAUAUGCACGAGCGGGGGUUUGAUUUCCAUCGCCGCGGCAUGAGAUGAAGGUAGAGCGCACGUGAGCGAGGGCGUCCUUGCCCGAGGCCAAGAGGAAGGAAGGAGGACGGCGCGGCGCAUCCACGGUUCGGUCCCGUCCCGGCGAGGCAAUCGGUGCAGCGACCGCACCGUACGUGGUCGAGCUCGCAGAUGGGCGUGCCGCCAUUGCCGGCGCCGGCACCGUGUCAGGCAGCCUGCAAUGCAAACCGGCUUACUAAUGCUACGGAAUAACCUAGACAAUUCUCAGAUAAAUGGAAAAGGAACCCACUUGUCACUGGCUUAUGGUAAACUUCAAGAGUAUCCUGAUUCCAGUAUAGCCAGAAGAUAUUUUGGCAUCUGCUGUUUUGACAUCACAUGAAUGUUCAUACUUAACUUAGUCCUACCAAACAAAGCUUGCUCACAAGGUUUUCAUUAUCUUUGGCACGAGGUCAGAUUUCUUUAUGCAUAUGUGUGUCUGUUGCUUGGAUCAUAUCCACAAGUACAGUUCUACUCAAUCAAGGGCAGCACACAAACCUUUAUGCCCUGUUUGGCAUGGGUACACUGAUUUGAGCUAAAUACCGAUGCCAUACAUCCAUUCCAAACAGGUUCUUAUGCUGAAUUUAGAAAAUCUACUAGCAGUUGACUCCUUUUGAGUUACGAUGAAACUAUCAAAGGCAGUCACAUCCAUAGUGAAGUAUCCAGUGAGCUUAUUUUGCUCUACCUAUCAUUUACCAACACAUAGUCUCUAAUAUAGCACACACAUUCAGCCCAUUAUCUCAAGAUCUAAGUACUUUAUUUAACUUUGCUAUAGUAGAAUUGAUAAUAAAAAUGGAAACUGCAUACCCUACAUCAGUAGAUAAUAACAUUAUAUGUUCAGUAGGAAUUAAGUUAUGUCUAGUUAGGGCAUCAAGAGCAAGACUGGAAACCAAGAUAGUGAUAAAGCUGUGAGCUACUGAAUUAGUGAAAAUAGCUGAAAACAGAGCCAUUUUUCUGAUGGAGCAAACCAACAGGAACCAGAGACUUGAUGCAUUGACACAAAACCUGAUUACAGGUGUCAAUAGA
This is a long non-coding RNA of Triticum aestivum (bread wheat), 1609 nucleotides long. RefSeq lists it as uncharacterized. Lineage: Eukaryota; Viridiplantae; Streptophyta; Magnoliopsida; Poales; Poaceae. The record is from RefSeq and is a predicted model, not a curated record. The transcript has 3 exons.